GAGAGUGGCGUACGGGUGAGUAACACGUAGGUGACCUGUCCUGAAGAUGGGGAUAACUGUUGGAAACGGCAGCUAAUACCAAAUGUACUCAACGAUUCGGUUCGUUGAGUAAAGUCCCCGAAAGGGGUGCGCUUCGGGAGGGGCCUGCGGCCCAUCAGCUAGUUGGUAGGGUAAUGGCCUACCAAGGCGAAGACGGGUAGGGGACGUGAGAGCGUGGCCCCCCACACUGGCACUGAGACACGGGCCAGACUCCUACGGGAGGCAGCAGUGAGGAAUAUUGCCCAAUGGACGCAAGUCUGAGGCAGCAACGCCGCGUGGGUGAUGAAGGCCUUCGGGUCGUAAAACCCUUUUCUGUGGGAAGAGAGAGGACGGUACCGCAGGAAUAAGCGUCGGCUAACUACGUGCCAGCAGCCGCGGUAAAACGUAGGACGCAAGCGUUAUCCGGAUUUACUGGGCGUAAAGAGCGUUGAGGCGGUUUCGUAAGUUGGACGUUAAAGCCCCGGGCUCAACUCGGGGAGGCCGUUCAAUACUGCGAGACUUGAGGACAGCAGAGGGGGGUGGAAUUUCCGGUGUAGUGGUGAAAUGCGUAGAUAUCGGAAGGAACACCAGUGGCGAAGGCGGCCCCCUGGGCUGCUCCUGACGCUGAAGGCGAAAGCUAGGGGAGCGAACGGGAUUAGAAACCCCGGUAGUCCUAGCUGUAAACGAUGGAUACUAGGUGUGGGAGGCGAAAAAACCUUCCGUGCCGUAGCUAACGCGUUAAGUAUCCCGCCUGGGGACUACGACCGCAAGGUUAAAACUCAAAGGAAUUGACNG
RNAcentral lists this ribosomal RNA (813 nucleotides) under uncultured Chloroflexota bacterium. RNAcentral's name for it is "bacterial SSU rRNA". It matches the Rfam family "Bacterial small subunit ribosomal RNA", at positions 91 to 916 of the family's 1533-position model. The record is from RNAcentral. Lineage: Bacteria; Bacillati; Chloroflexota.